GAUGAACGCUGGCGGCGUGCCUAAUACAUGCAAGUCGAGCGAACGGACGAGAAGCUUGCUUCUCUGAUGUUAGCGGCGGACGGGUGAGUACCACGUGGCUACCCUACCUAUAAGACUGGGAUAACUUCGGGAAACCGGAGCUAAUAUCGGAUCAUAUUUUGAACCGCAUGGUUCAACAGUGAUAGACGUUCUUGCUGUCCCUUAUAGAUGGAUCCGCGGUGCAUUAGCUAGUUGGUACGGUAACGGCUUACCAAGGCAACGAUGCAUAGCCGACCUGAGAGGGUUAACGGGCAAACUGGAACUGAGACAAGGUCCAGACUCCUAAGGGAGGCAGCAGUAGGGAAACUUCCGAAAAGGGCGAAAGCCUGACGGAGCAACGGCGCGUGAGUGAUGAAGGGCUUCGGAUCGUAAAACUCUGUUAUUAGGGAAGAACAGAUGGGUAAGUAACUGUGCACAGCUUGACGGUACCUAAUCAGAAAGCCACGGCUAACUACGUG
RNAcentral lists this ribosomal RNA (497 nucleotides) under uncultured bacterium. Its description in RNAcentral is "partial 16S ribosomal RNA". It matches the Rfam family "Bacterial small subunit ribosomal RNA", at positions 28 to 507 of the family's 1533-position model. The record is from RNAcentral.